RNAcentral lists this ribosomal RNA (253 nucleotides) under uncultured bacterium. Its description in RNAcentral is "partial 16S ribosomal RNA". It matches the Rfam family "Bacterial small subunit ribosomal RNA", at positions 524 to 776 of the family's 1533-position model. The record is from RNAcentral.
UACGAAGGGGGCUAGCGUUGCUCGGAAUCACUGGGCGUAAAGCGUGCGCAGGCGGUUUUGUAAGUCCGCUGUGAAAGUCGGGGGCUCAACCCUCGGAUGCCGGUGGAUACUGUCGGGCUUGAGUACGGAAGAGGCGAGUGGAAUUCCUGGUGUAGCGGUGAAAUGCGCAGAUAUCAGGAGGAACACCAAUUGCGAAGGCAGCUCGCUGGGACGUUACUGACGCUGAGACGCGAAAGCGUGGGGAGCAAACAGG